This 257-nucleotide long non-coding RNA is filed under the name Phoenix dactylifera (date palm). RNAcentral describes it as "long non-coding RNA (PDAC_LNC008033)". Lineage: Eukaryota; Viridiplantae; Streptophyta; Magnoliopsida; Arecales; Arecaceae. The record is from RNAcentral.
GGCUCAACCUUCCUAAGCUCAAUUUCUUCUACCUUCCUAGUGAGGGCUGCCAUUUUAGCGUGAAGAUCAUCCUCAGUUCUGAGGUUGUAAAGGCCUCCAUGUACAGAGCUAGUAGGCUUAGGCAAAGACUUGUUGUUUCUAUCCCCGUUAUCCCAAAGUUGGGCAGUCUCAGCAAGGGAAUCCAAAUACUCCCAUGCCUCAUCAGGUUGUUUUUCUAAAAAUCUACCAUUGCACAUGGUCUCUACAAAUUGUUUCAA